RNAcentral lists this ribosomal RNA (441 nucleotides) under uncultured bacterium. RNAcentral's name for it is "bacterial SSU rRNA". It matches the Rfam family "Bacterial small subunit ribosomal RNA", at positions 354 to 796 of the family's 1533-position model. The record is from RNAcentral.
GUGAGGAAUAUUGCGCAAUGGCCGAAAGGCUGACGCAGCGACGCCGCGUGAAGGAUGAAGUCCGUUAGGAUGUAAACUUCUUUUGCAGGGGAUGAAUGUUCCGGUUUCCGGAAUUGACCGUACCUUGCGAAUAAGGAUCGGCUAACUACGUGCCAGCAGCCGCGGUAAUACGUAGGAUCCGAGCGUUGUCCGGAUUUACUGGGUGUAAAGGGCGUGUAGGUGGGUUCCUAAGUCGGUGGUGAAAUCUUGCAGCUCAACUGCAAAACUGCCAUCGAUACUGGGGAUCUUGAGUACGGCAGAGGGAGAUGGAAUUCAUGGUGUAGCGGUGAAAUGUGUAGAUAUCAUGAAGAACACCGGUAGCGAAGGCGGUCUCCUGGUCCGUAACUGACACUGAGGCGCGAAAGCGUGGGGAGCAAACAGGAUUAGAAACCCGAGUAGUCC